Molecule: long non-coding RNA, 644 nt
Organism: Austrofundulus limnaeus
Lineage: Eukaryota; Metazoa; Chordata; Actinopteri; Cyprinodontiformes; Rivulidae
Exons: 3
Source: RefSeq, a predicted model, not a curated record
AUAAAAUAUAUAUUACAGAAGUGCCUAAAAGCUAGCUGGGUGUGCUACGGAAGUACCGUAAUAGAAACCGGAAAUAUCUCCUUUCACAAGUUUUCAUUGCACAAACCUGACCUGUGGAGAAGAUGGUUUAGCCGUGGACGACUUUCAUCCUGCAGAGUUUAAUCAGUGCACAACAUCCUCUCCUCCACUUCAUGCUGCAGAGCACAGGAAGGCCAAGCCAGCUGUUCUCCCAUUGUCCAGGUGCUUAACGGGAUUACAGAGGGGCACAAGGCCAACCUCCUCCACACACACAUGCGCACGCYGGCACUUUCAUACGCAGACUUGACCUAAAACUUCAAAGGCAGAUGGAGAAGCACAAGGAUGCAUCAUCCCCCGGCUUUGUGGAUAAGAACUGGAGCUAUGCUCAGCUGAGCGUGCACACUCAGUGUGACUGGAUCGCUCAAUAACACACAAUGGGUGUAAACAGUCGGGAUGAAAUGCUCCACUGCAAAAUGUAUUUGUUCUACUCAAUUCCGAAUGUAGUUUUUUUUUAAUUAUUGCUGCUUAUUCUAAAAAAGAUAUUGAAAAAAAUACAAAAAUAUGACAUAGUUUAAAAAAUGUUUGAAGAACACACUUUCCCAAGUUUUUGAAAUAUAUAAAUUAAA